AUGAUGAUGAGUUGAAGGAAUCCUAUAGUCACUAUUCUUGUUUUGCCUCUGAUUUGUCACUAUUCCUGUUGUCAAUUGUAUUGGGGGGAGGGGUGACUUAGUGGUUCUAUGGUUCUGUUAUAGAGGCUCAAUUGCUAGUAUCUGCAGCUAUUCCAUGGGAUAAUGUUGUAUAUUUAGUCAUCAUUAUAAAUUUAUUUAUCCAAUCUUAAGAUUGCAUCUUUCCUACAGGUUGCUGAUGAAGCCCAUGGAAUGUUGAGGUCCAUGCUUGAUCAAUUCACUCAUAAAUUCUCUAGUUCACCAAGGUCACUAUCUACAAUUCCACAUAAGCGCUUCAGGCAAGGAAUUUCACUGUCAUUUCACCAACUUCCAUCUUGAAGAUAUUCCAGAAAUGAAACUCCUGUCCCAUGACUAAGCUACACCUUUGGUCAUUUCCCAGCCUAUCCACUGCCUAGGAAGCUUAGGCAGAGGCAUAGUGAACUGACUAAUCGGGGAUGCCAAAAGAGCUGAAUCUUGCCCAUUCUUGACCAACGUAGGUGGAAUAUAUAUAAUUAGGAACCAUGUAUAUACAUCUCACGCGAGUGUUGUUUUAGUUUGCAGCCAUCAUGUUUGGGAUCAGUUUCUACUUGAACCAGGGUAACAACGUCUUUGUUUUACUAUGCUGUCUGUUUACCAAAAAAAAAAAAGAGUUACGGCAGGGGACCCUU
Molecule: long non-coding RNA, 704 nt
Organism: Zingiber officinale
Lineage: Eukaryota; Viridiplantae; Streptophyta; Magnoliopsida; Zingiberales; Zingiberaceae
Exons: 2
Source: RefSeq, a predicted model, not a curated record